UGCAGCUGGAUCAGAUCUGGC
RNAcentral lists this unclassified non-coding RNA (21 nucleotides) under Chlamydomonas reinhardtii. RNAcentral describes it as "small RNA Cre_3022". Lineage: Eukaryota; Viridiplantae; Chlorophyta; Chlorophyceae; Chlamydomonadales; Chlamydomonadaceae. The record is from RNAcentral.